This 253-nucleotide ribosomal RNA is filed under the name uncultured bacterium. RNAcentral describes it as "partial 16S ribosomal RNA". It matches the Rfam family "Bacterial small subunit ribosomal RNA", at positions 524 to 776 of the family's 1533-position model. The record is from RNAcentral.
UACGGAGGGUGCAAGCAUUAAUCGGAUUUAUUGGGCGUAAAGGGCGCGUAGGCGGGAAUAUUAGUCAGAUGUGAAAUCCUGGGGCUCAACCUCAGAACUGCAUUUGAAACUGUAUUCCUAGAGGGUAGGAGGAGAAAACGGAAUUCCACAAGUAGCGGUGAAAUGCGUAGAUAUGUGGAAGAACACCGGUGGCGAAGGCGGUUUUCUAUCUUAUUCCUGACGCUGAUGCGCGAAAGCAAGGGGAUCAAACAGG